RNAcentral lists this ribosomal RNA (405 nucleotides) under uncultured bacterium. RNAcentral's name for it is "partial 16S ribosomal RNA". It matches the Rfam family "Bacterial small subunit ribosomal RNA", at positions 28 to 526 of the family's 1533-position model. The record is from RNAcentral.
GACGAACGCUGGCGGCGUGCUUAACACAUGCAAGUCGAGCGGAGCGGCGCACGGGUGAGUAACUCGUGAGUAACUGCCCCCCUCUCUGGGAUAACAGUUGGAAACGGCUGCCAAUACCGGAUAGUGGGGGAUGACUCGCGUCCUAUCAGCUUGUUGGUGGGGUAGUGGCCUACCAAGGCGACGACGGGUAGCCGGCCUGAGAGGGCGACCGGCCUCAUUGGGCUGAGGUACGGCCCAAACUCCUACGGGGGGCAGCGGUGGGGAAUAUUGCACAAUGGGGGAAACCCUGAUUCCGCAACGCCGCGGGCGGGAUGAAGGCCUUCCGGUUGUAAACCGCUUUCAGCCAUUACGCGGUAGUGGCAGAAGAAGCACCGGCUAACUACGUGCCAGCCGCCGCGGUAAUUC